UUGAACGCUGGCGGAAUGCUUUACACAUGCAAGUCGAACGGCAGCGCGGGGGCAACCCUGGUGGCGAGUGGCGAACGGGUGAGUAAUACAUCGGAACGUGCCCAGCCGUGGGGGAUAGCGUAGCGAAAGCUACGCUAAUACCGCAUACGAACUGAGGUUGAAAGCGGGGGAUCGCAAGACCUCGCGCGAUUGGAGCGGCCGAUGGCAGAUUAGGUAGUUGGUGGGGUAAAGGCNCACCAAGCCGACGAUCUGUAGCUGGUCUGAGAGGACGACCAGCCACACUGGGACUGAGACACGGCCCAGACUCCUACGGGAGGCAGCAGUGGGGAAUUUUGGACAAUGGGCGCAAGCCUGAUCCAGCCAUUCCGCGUGCAGGAUGAAGGCCCUCGGGUUGUAAACUGCUUUUGUACGGAACGAAAAGGGCGCCGGUUAAUACCUGGCGCUGAUGACGGUACCGUAAGAAUAAGCACCGGCUAAC
This 478-nucleotide ribosomal RNA is filed under the name uncultured bacterium. RNAcentral's name for it is "bacterial SSU rRNA". It matches the Rfam family "Bacterial small subunit ribosomal RNA", at positions 29 to 501 of the family's 1533-position model. The record is from RNAcentral.